GAAGUAGAUGAAAUUUCAAACUCGUCUUUUACACACUUUGCACUUUGAAUUCUUACAUUUUAAGAAGCUGAAGAUCCCCAAAAAGUACACACUUCGCAUUCUAAUAAUUUUACAUACAAUGAAAAGUAUGAAGAGGAUAUGAUCUUCUUCAAAUACCUAGAUACCGGAAUAUUAAAACAGAUCGUAGAAAGGGUGACUUCGAUAUCAUGCAAAGAUAUGAUAAAUUUUAAACUAAGGUCAUCAACGGGGGGUUUCAUAUGAAUCUGUCGAUGUUAGACGUUCCAAUUAGCCCAUUGCAGCUCCCAAUCCAUGAAAAUUAUAGAUAUUUUGAGUCGUUCAUGAACUGGUGCAUAGAAUAUGAAAAUAAUGAAGCCUUGUAUAGAACAUGUGUGAAGAACUAUUUCAAAAAUGGAAGUACAGAUGAAGCACUUGAAAUGUUGGAAAGAGAAUCUGAGGGAGGCCACAAAGCUGCAACAUAUGUGUUUGCCUUAAUUUCGAUAUUUUUAAGGGGUGAAACCGGAGAACAUGGGAUAGAAACGAUUGGCCAUAUGAAAGGAAUGCAACAACAAAGGAUAUUAACAAGGGAAUGUCAACAAAGUCUUCGACAAAUAUUAGGUACAAUUUGUAUCUAAUCGUGUAUUUGUUAUAGAACUCCCACGUUGUUGCACUACACAAUUAUAUCUAGUUAAUAUUCCCCCAACUGAAUAUGAUAGUGAUGAAUCUGAUGAAGCAUACCUAUGUUAUGGUUGUAGUAGCGAUGAAGAAGUUACCAAGUUCUGUACUUUUACUAGGCCAUUUGUAAAUUACUAUUAUCCCAAUUGGAUUUAUUAGUUUUAUUAUUGUUAUUAUCAUAA
Molecule: long non-coding RNA, 854 nt
Organism: Solanum lycopersicum (tomato)
Lineage: Eukaryota; Viridiplantae; Streptophyta; Magnoliopsida; Solanales; Solanaceae
Source: RefSeq, a predicted model, not a curated record